This 868-nucleotide ribosomal RNA is filed under the name uncultured fungus. Its description in RNAcentral is "partial 18S ribosomal RNA". It matches the Rfam family "Eukaryotic small subunit ribosomal RNA", at positions 612 to 1507 of the family's 1831-position model. The record is from RNAcentral. Lineage: Eukaryota; Fungi.
GUUGCAGUUAAAGCUCCGUAGUUGACCUUGGGCCCGUCCUGCCGGUCCGCCUCACCGCGAGUACUGGUCCGGAUGGGCCUUUCUUUCUGGGGAAUCCCAUGGCCUUCACUGGCUGUGGCGGGAAACCAGGACUUUUACUGUGAAAAAAUUAAAGUGUUCAAAGCAGGCCUUUGCUCGGAUACUUUACCAUGGAAUAAUAAAAUAGGAUGUGGGGUUCUAUUUUGUUGGUUUCUAGGACCGCCGUAAUGAUUAAUAGGGAUAGUCGGGGGCGUCAGUAUUCACCUGUCAAAGGUGAAAUUCUUGAAUUUGCUGAAAACUAACUACGGCAAAAGCAUUCCCCAAGGAUGUUUUCAUUAAUCAGGGAACAAAAGUUAGGGAAUCAAAAACAAUCAAAUACCGUCGUAUUCUUAACCAUAAACUAUGCCAACAAGGGAUCGGGCGGGGUUUCUAUGAUGACCCGCUCGGCCCCUUACAAAAAAUCAAAUUUUUUGGUUUCGGGGGGGGGUAUGGUCGCAGGGCUAAAACUUAAAAAAUUUGACGGAGGGGCCCCACAGGGCGUGGACCCUGCGGUUUAUUUUGACUCAACACGGGAAAACUCCCCGGGCCCAAACAAAAUAGGGAUUGACAGAUUGAGAGCUCUUUCUUGAUCUUUUGUAGGGGGGUGCAUGCCCGUUCUUAUUUGGGGGAAGUGAUUUGUCUGCUUAAUUGCGAUAACGACACGAGACCUCGGCCCUUAAUAUAGCCCGGUCCCGCGUUCGCGGCCCGCUGGCUUCUUAGGGGACUAUCGGGCUCAGCCCAAUGGAGUACGUGCAAUAACGGUCUGUGAUGCCCUUAAAUGUUCUGGGCCCGCACGCGCGUCUACACUGAC